Long non-coding RNA from Cavia porcellus (domestic guinea pig), 22135 nucleotides. RefSeq lists it as uncharacterized. The record is from RefSeq and is a predicted model, not a curated record. The transcript is spliced from 2 exons. Lineage: Eukaryota; Metazoa; Chordata; Mammalia; Rodentia; Caviidae.
CUCCUCCAGAGAAAUAGAAGCUAGCCUUCCUUCUUAUUUCCCUUUUAUGCCAUGCUGGCAACAAUCCUCCUGAGCAUACAUCUUCUACACACAGAACUAUGCUGAUCCAAUUUAGUUGGGCUAUCACAAUACAUCCCUUGUCAACUUGACAAUCAGACACAUUUCUUUAAAUCAUGUUUCCAGAUAAAAAGGCAAGCUCAUAAUCAUACCUAACAAGUUGUAAGUCUCCUGAGUACAAAUAGACACACACUAACUCCCUUCCUUGAAUAGAAGACAGUUUUUCUUUGUGUGAUGCUUACUGCUAAUAUUUCAAAACUUGUAGGUCCUAUACAGGUUAAACAACACUUAACCAACAUUAUAACUAUCAGCAUUAUAUUACAUUGGAAGCAUACUAGGAGUGAACAAUUAUAGUUCUUAUUUCUGUUGCUGAUUAUGGAAUCAUAGCUGGUAUUUAGAACUACCUUCUUCUUUCUACCCAAUAUGUAUUCCCUUGGCCUUCAGCAAGCAUCUCACAGGUCUUGGUUCUUUCCCAGGUGAGAGUGACCCAUGCCUUUAUUCUUGAAGGCUGUAGGUCAUUUGUCAUUCUGCCUGGAACGGGUUGUUGUAGUUUCUGUUGCAUAACUGCAGUCCCCACUGUAAGAUCUGGCAUACAGAGAAGAGCAGUGACAGGGCUCAUCAAGGAUUUUUCUGGGUCAUUCCAGUGUGGUAGACUAGGUUUUAAGUUAACAAUCCACUCCAGUAUUUCCAUUUCCCUAAGCCUCUGAAACCCCUCAUCAACAGUAAAUCAUGAAAUAUUAGGCAUCUCUGACUCAUUCACAAUGGGCCGUCUUUUAAUUCAUAAUCCUGCCAACCAGGUAUAUAAACGAUUAACACUGUUUUUUAAUCAUCCAGGACCUACAACAUUAAAUUCAACAUCUAUGCUUUGUGUGCCCGUAUCAACAAGUAUAGCCUGAUCCAGGUGUAUAUUUUUGCUACCAUCAUCCCAUACCUAUAAAAUCCAUUCCUGCAUUUGCUCAUCAGGCUUCCGCUUUAAGAGUUAGAAAACUCAGGAAAUUAGAACUUUUCAUGGGGGAAUGUGUACCUCACCCUUAGGCAUUGUCUUAGUUACAUUUGUUUCACUGCUGAGGCAAAUACCCACCACUCAAAGUAAAAGGGGGAAAGGUUUAUUUAACUCAUAGUUUGUAGAGAUUUCAAUCCAUAAUCACCUAGUUCCAAGGCCCGUGGCACAUUGAGGGGGAAAUUGUUCAUGGUCCUGGAAAACAGCAAAAGGAACCAGACAGGAAAGAUAAGACUCUUUCUGUCCCUUGUAUUGUGUGCAGGCUACAUACCAGGGCAAAUGUAGCACUGGAACCCUUACUCCUACCCAUAGAGAUGCCAAACCAGUCAGUGGACUGAUUUACUAAUCACACACCCUUAAUUCCAGCAUCACGUGCUGUAGAUUUAGGCACUGCUCUACAGCCAUACCAUCCUGAAUGCUCCUGAUCUCAUCUGAUAUCAGAAGUUAACUAGGGUUGGGCCUAGUUAGUACUUGUAGAGAAACCUCUAAAAAGCCUAUCCUAUUUAAGAUUGCAUGAAACUUUAGGGGAAUAUCUAGACACAAGCCAUAACAGGCACCUUCUGUGAUUUGAAAUGGCUUAUAACCCCACAGACCAAAAUGGGUGAUGAGGAUGAAUCCUGAGGAUUGCCAGUAUUAUGCUUGAUCAACACAGAAUUAGUUUCCUGAGAUAUACUAGGAGAGUCCAACCCCACAGAGGGUGAGGAUGCCUCACCACUAUGAGUCAGGAAAUCUCUCCCUCUGGCUGACUAUUUUCAUUGGAGUCUAGACACUCAUACCCUCACUUUUAUCUAGAUGUCACCACCUCAGUUUAUGAGACCCCAUUCUCUUUUUCAAUCAGAGCCUUCACCUUUACUUCAGAUAGCCUUCCUUAUAUGGUGCAUUUCAGCCAGCUGAAUUCUACAGUCUUGGUAAAAGGAGGCUAGAUUCUUUUUCAGGACAUGCUUAGGAAGUUUUAAAAUUUUUUCUGUGUGUCUGGAGCUAAGAGUUUGCAUCUUUGAGCUCCUAAUUUUCCUUUAUUAAUUUCUUCUCACAGUUAGAAAACAUUAGAUUUCCUAUAAACAUUUUGAACUCAUCGUUUUUCUUCAGUAGUUUUCCAGCAAGUAUAUUUCCCAUUAUGCCAAAAUUUUUCAGAAAUAUCGUAUAGAGUUGCUAAAUUCCUUAUAUUUCACAAAUGGUGAAAUAGGAUAAAGUGGAUCCACAUUGCAUAUUACUUUAAAGAGUUCACACUAUCAAUAUUCCUCACUGUACUAGAAGGAGACACCAUAGAGUUUUUAGUGUCCUCAAAUUAGAAUGUCAACUCUAGGAAGCCCUAAAGCCAUUAAAGGAUUUCAUCUUUACAGUUCUGUUUUCUAGAGUCACUUGUGGUACCAAAAUCUGUAUCAUUCAGUGCUUACUAGGGAACUUUUGGGAAUAUGACAGAGUGGUGAACAACAGAGCAAGAGCCUCUCCAAGAUUUGGUGUCCAGGUAUUGGAAUAUAGUAACAUAAGGAAGUGAAAAAGGAGGGAGGUAAGUCCCGUGGACCCAGGAAAGAUCUGAAGUGAAACUUGAAGUCCAUGGAGGGAGAGAAUCCAGAAAUCUAGCAAAAAUAAGAAAAUCAGGCUCGGGGCUGGGGGUUUAGCUCAGCGGCAUAAGCACCUGCCUUGCAAGCAGGUGGUCGUGAGUUCGAUCCCCGGUACCGAUAAAAAUGAAAAAGACAAAAAAAAAAAAAAAAAAAAGAAAAUCAGGCUCACUGCCAAGGGUCCAAGGAGAAACCACGCUCCCUACUGAACCAGGCACCAGACCUAGAGAAGAAGCCACACCUCCCAGUGAGGCAGCCACUGCAGACCCAAAGAGAAGAGCCACACCCUCAGUGAACUGCACCCAAAACACAUCCAGGAGAUGCAGACACAAAAGAACAAGUUCAAGAGACACAUACAUGGAAUAAAUUAGAAAAUACACACUGAAGUUUCUGAAAUGAUACCCCCAGGAAGUAAAGAAACAAUUGAGGGCUUAUAUUGUUUGAUAAACUUAGCAUGCCUGUAUCUAAUAUUCUGAGCAACUAUUUGGAAGAUAACAAUGUGCAAUGCAGUAACUAUGGUUGAUUUCCUACUGUCUUGUUUUUGAAAUCCAAGGUCUUAUUGUAUUGUCUUGUUUCACUUUGUUCUCUUUAAAAUAAAAAUAAAUCAGUGCUUACUAGAGAAAUUGAUUUAAUGCAAGAUGUAUAAAUAAAUAAGAAUUUAUAAGAUUGGCUUACAGUGGCCAUCACACACUCAAGUGUAGAAGGAUGUAAAAGGGCUAUCUGCAUGCUGCAGAUCUAAAGGAUCCAGUGAAAAACCUGAAGUCCACUGUAGUGACCUAUGCUGGUCCGUAUCAGGAGGCCAAGAGGUCUGUGAUGAAGGCUGGAGGUUUGAACUGGAUGCCAAAAUGUCUACCCUGGAAGCCAGGAAACAGUGUCUGAGGUAAAGGGGAAGACUGGAGCCCCGCCAAUUUAGUUAGGCAUUUCUUUGUUUGUUGUUUUUUUUUUUUUUUUUUUUUUUUUUUUUUUUUUUUUACACAGGGUUUUGCUAUGCAGUUCUGGGUAAUUUUGAACUCACUGUGUAUCCCAGCUGGCCUUGAAUUCAUGCCAAUCUUCCUGCUUCAGCCUCUGAGUGCUAGGGUUACAGACGUGCACCACCAGGCCUGGUUUAGUUGUAGGUUUCUUAUUCAAACUGAUACAAUCAGCUAUCACAAAAACUAAAUUUAUAUCUGCAUUUAUCUGUUGACAUAUAUACUCAAAUGUACUUUCUAUCCUUUGUAACUGUAUUUACCUUAAGCAUGAAUUAUUUGUAUUUAUAUUAUAUAGGUGGUGUUCAUAGUGUUUAGAACUUGGGCUUUUGAAAUGACAGUAUUUUACAACUAAAUGUUAGUCUUACACAUUUUCAUAAAUGAAAACUGAUAUUUCACUUAAAGGAAUGUUUGAUGUUAAUAUUUUAAUAAGAGUAUUCAGAGAUAUAUAAUAUUGUUUUUAAAUUUCUUUCAAAAAUUAAUGUAUAUGUAUAAUUAUAUGUACUCAUGAAAAUAAUAACCUUUUUUUUAAGCUUGUAAAGUUAAAAGCAUAAAAUGUACUAUAAUGAUAGGAGAAAGGCCCUGAAAGCAUGCAAGUUCAUUUUACACUUACUAAACGAUGACAAAAUUACUCUUCUAUUGAAUUUGUAAAACAGGAAAAUAUAAAUUACAAAAAAUUUUCUCAAAUAUCCCUAAAACUAUUUUCAAAGAACAAAAGGAAAGCAGUAAUUGAACAAAAGCCAGUUUUAUUCACAGAAUGCAGUUUAAUCUGGAUUUGGUGGCUCAUAUCUGUAAUCCAUGUCUUGAGGAAGCUAAGGCAGGAGGAUUACUGUGAGUUCAAGGCCAGUCUGAAGUACACAGUGAGAUCCUGUCUUAAAAAACAAAAAACGAAAAAGUAUACCUUUAUUAUCACUUCUCUAAAGAAUUUUAAAGUCAGUCAUUUCUGACAUUAUACUAUAAUCAUCAAAAUUCAUUUCUUAUCUGUUUAUGUGUACAAAAAAUACAGUGGAAAAGUAUUGUGAAAUGCUAUGUAUGUCGUCUUUUAGAAGGUGACUAUGGUAUUUAUGCAAGAGAAAUUUAUAUGAUUCUUGGUUGGUAAAAUGCUAACUGAGGAGUAUGAUUUAUAACAAAAAUGUAGAGAUCUUAUUGUAAUAAUGUAUCAUGCAUUCCAUUUCCUGCAAGAAAAUCAAUCACUAUAACAUACUAAUACCUUCUGGUAUUCUUUUUUACUACUUUACAAGGAAAAUCCAGUAUUUGAACUUGGUAAAAAUGGAUGGUUAGACUAUUGGGUAAUGUCUGAAAAUUUAUACAAAUUAUUCAGAUAACAAUCCUUAAAAACUGGUACUGCUUGACAGCAAGAAUGGUGUUUUGGUGAAGUACUGUAUUGCUUACAUUGUUCUGUUCUGACCUGCUUUGUUCUGUCCUCUUUUGUCUUAAUCUCUCUAAAAUAAAAAAAGAAUUGUGUUUUAAAAGAAAUAUUGGAAAAGAUCUCUAACACCUAUUCACUGAUAUUCUUGAUCUGAAAUGAGGAAUAUCUAGUGAUUGAUGAGUAUAGUCUUUAUCAUUUAUCAAUAUAGUGACUAAAAAGUUGAUGUGUUUAUAUUGGAAAACUAAUCUUUGGCUACAUGGUUCUAUCAGAAUGGAAGACUUCAACCACUAUUUCAGUUUUCUAUAUAUACUCCUUAUAAAGUUAAAAUAAUUUAGUUAACUUUGCAUAUUAUCAUAUGUGUAAUAUGUUCAGAAUAUAGAAAACAGUUGUACUAUAAUUACUACAACUGAUACUAAUACUAUUUUUCUUUCUUCUUUCCUUCUCUCUCUUCCUUCCUACUUUCCUUUCUUCUUUCUCUCAUUAAGCUGGGCAGCAGUAAGCAGAGGUUCUGAGAUAUAAAAUACAUAAUUUAUUUGAGCAAACAAUUCUUUUGGUGAGACAUGGUGCUUUGGUUUGAACUAAGGGAUUCUUGCAUGUUAACACAUGCUAUAACACAGAGCUAUAUCCCUGGCCCUACACAUUUAUUUUUAAAAGCAUUCACUGAUUAUAAGUUAUUCAAGAAAUAUCCAAUGUUAUAAUUUAUAGUUAUUGUAUUUUCAUUCAUAAAAGUGUUUCAAGUAUGUAGAUGGACAAUGUGAAAUAUGAUCUCAAUCACAAGAAUUUAUCAGCAUUUAUUAAUUUAUCCAACAUUUGUUAAGAUCCACCUUAUAUGGGAAGUUUGCUAAGAACUGCAGAGACUAAAAUAUAUAGUAAAUGAUCCUGAUUCUCAAGGUCUUCAGCUAACUGAUUAUUAAAUGUAAAAACUAUUACUGGGGGGAGUUCUUAGGGCACAGAGGAGGUAUAAAGAGGACACCUAAGGUUGGUCAGAUUAAAAAUGGGGUCCAAGGGUAAAAAUUUGCAUGAAUUUUCUUCUUCAGUUUUUAAUCUAUAGGAUUUUAUUACAUGUAAUUCAAACUUUUUUAUUGUUAUUAAUAAUUAGUCUUGACUGAGAUUUGUCAAAUUAUCUUUUCAAGAUCCAGAAUUUAGUUUUAUUGAUCCUUUUAUUAUGUGUUUAUUUUCUAUUUCCAAACAUAUAUGUGUUUUCUGGUUUUACUAUUUUUCUUUUGAUCAAGGAAUAUAUACUAUGUUAAUCAUCCCUUUGGAAAUUUUACUUUCUUUAUAUCCUCAUGUUGAAGCUUAUAAAAAUAUUUCACAUAUACUUGAGAAGAAUGUGAAUUUUACAAUUAUCAUUUUAGUAUUCUAUAUAUAUUCAUUCACUAUCAUUUGUUAACUUUACUGUUUGAGCUUCUGUAGUAUAACUUUUUGAAAUUUUAUUGUAGUAUUACUUUUUUUAACUGAUUCUCAGAUCAGUUAUUGAAAAAACUGUGUUAAAAUUUUCAAAAUAUGAUCUGAAAUCUUCAGAGUAAGGAGUAACUCUGUAAAUUUUGCCUUACAUAUUUUAAGAUCAUGUUGUUUUAGAAACAUAUGGAUUUUUUCAAUGGCUUUCAUAUUCUGUCCAGAAACCUGAAAAGUAUCUAUAUUUAUGCUUGGGUUAGACAGCUGCUGCUGCUGCUGCUGCUGCUGCUGCUGCUGCUGGUUGUUUGUUUGUUUUUUAAUCAGCUCUGGGAUGGAACAUAGGACCUUGUGCUAGGAAAGUUCCUUACCCCUAAGUUAUAUCCCAGCCAUCUAUUUUUUUUUAUUGUGCCUUUGACUAAUGUUUAACUUGAAUAGCUUAUUCCAUAUCUUGAAAUAAUGCAUAUAUACAGUAAGGAACUACUGAGAUACUUUUAAUAAUGCAACAACAUAAUUACAUUCAUUUUAAAAUGAUUGUUUUAUUUGACAAAAAAGGUUGAUACAUGAGAGUAAACACAGAAGACAGUUGAUUAGGAAGUUAUGAAUUUUUCCCAUGAGUGAUGGCUUCCAAUAGGGUUAAAGUUAGAACACAGAGACCAUCACAUUAAGAUGAUACUUUAAGCACUUCAUUAAUUUACCUCAGUUUAUCUUAUACAGUUUGUAAGAUACCUUUGAUGUUAGCAAGAUUAUAAAUUAUUUUUUGUUAAUAACUUGGCAAUCCUUAAAUGGGUAUCAAAAUGAAAUUGAACAAAUAAGCAUAAAUAUUAGCAACAUAGAAGCAUAUGUAUUCAUCGAUUUUAAAAUUCUGGACAAUUUUUCUAAGUGGUAACCAUUAAGUAGGUAGAGGAUGACCUAGAUGUUUUUUCUUUUGAAAAAAAAUUUUGGUCAUUUGAGCAUUGUUAAUUCUUGCUUUGUGCUUUGCAUUGUUUUCCUCCUCUGAAUCUUCUUUCUGCUGGGACCAAUUAUUUUUAUGACCCAGAGUAUUUGAACUGAGGCUGAAAGAGCAAGAUUAGUCUGGCUUAUCCAUCAGGAGUCUCAGUGACUCUUCCUCCACUAGAGGGUUUACCUGGCGCUUGACUUCAUUCUGCUACUCACUGCAGGUAUCUGUACUUACCAUGCUGUUAACCUGCGGAGUCACUAGUAUGCCUUUCCAAACUUUACAAAUUUUCUAACAAUCUGGCCACUAUAGAAGUCAAAUGACUUCUUUCUUUAGGAAGAAUUAUUUAGUGUUUUUAAACUGUGCUGCACGAACUGUAGCAGUGUUUUAGGGACCAUCUGGAGUGAACAGGUAUGGAUGAUCAGAAGAACUCCUUAGUCUACCAUACCAGCUCCAGCUAGAGAAAUGGUAUAGUUAUCUGGUUAAAUGCAGAGGAUUUCAUUUGAAGAGUUUCUUGUUACUUUAAAAAAAUGUUUGGAAAAACAUUUUUAAAUAAUGUAAAUCAUAAGCAAUUCUCUGUUCAUAAUGACAUUUACCAGGCAAAAUCAGGUCAGUUGUGGUAGUUUUCUUGAAGACUUUCUAUUUUCUUUCUUUUCUUCUUCUUCUUUUUUUUUUAAAUAAGUGAAGAAACUAUAUUUCAUGGUAAAUAAAAAACUAUACAUUGAAAUUAGGUAGGCCUAACGUGGUCUCUUGGCACUGUUUGCUAAUUUAAACAACAGAGCUAUAUUCUUCACAUUUAGUUUCAGCAGAGAUCUUUUAAUUCUGACUCCUUCUCCAUACCUAUAUUAAGAAAGUAAUUAACUGUUGAGAAGAUGUAUUACACUUGAGAUCUCCAAGUGUAAACCGAUAAUAAAUAUGUUAAAACUUGCAUUUAUAAUCUAUUUCAGGAAUAGUUAAUGUCAUUACUGUGUUCCAGUACUAUGUAAAAAAUUCCUUCUUCAAAGUAAAACUUAACUUCCAGGAGAGAAAAGAUAAGUAUCAGCAUGGUUUUUGUUUCUUAGGCUGACAAAAGAAUAGCUGCUGGGUAUGGUAUCUUUGAAAAUAGCUAGCUUGGUCAGGUUUCUUAAUCUUAAAUUUAUGGAACUUCUUUGAUAAUAAACAGUUUGAUAUCUAGAAAUUUGAUUACUUACUGUGAACACAGUGAUGGGUACCCUCAAGGCUUGUAAAACAAUACUUUUAAAACUGAUAAUAGCACUGGGUAGCUAUCAACUAGGAAAUAUCUGUAUUUUAGAUAUUUAUAGUACCUGAAACUUAAUUUUAAAUCUGCAUUUAUUUGAUAGAUUGUCAAUGAACUUCAACUUUUCACCUUAAUGUUUCUAUGGUCAUAGUACACGGUAGCGGUGGGAAUUUUUUAUUGGCUUUCUUGCCCAGACUGCUGUUUGCCAGCAGAAAUAUAAACUGGUAUGACCAGAGUGAAAUGAUGAGACACAGGCAAUGGAAAAAUAAACAAAAUGGGAACUACUGAAAAGGAACAAAAACAGAAAAAUUGUAGAGGAAUACCAGAAGGUAGCAGAAACGUGAAAAAGAUAUGGAAUGGAUAACAAAAAUAAAUGAAAGGUGUAUCCCGAAAUGCUGAGGAGAAGAAAAGGAAUGAAAUAUAGAAGAGUUGACGUUAAGGGUUGAGGAAAAGCAACAAACAAACAAACAAAUGAGAGAUAAAGAUUUAUGGAACUCAAAGAUUUGCUUUUACAACUAGGUAAAUUAUAAUUAAAAUAUGUUUUGGUUAUAGCGGAUUAAACUGUUAGCUUUUUAAAACUUUAGAAUGUAAAACAUUUUAAUGUUUUUUUUUUAAUCAGACUAAGAACAGCCUACUGUGUUCUCUGAUCUUACUCAUUAACAUCUUCUGUUGUUUCCCUUUGAUAAUAGAAAGGCAGUGUCAGAGAUAACAGGGAUUUUAAAACAUCUGAAUGGCAUGCUUUAGAACUACAUUUUAAAGUAGUAGUCAAGGUUUUCUGUACAAUCCUUUACUUAUUAAAAGUUACCAACUACAGCCCUUCAUUUAGAAAUGAGACAGUUACUUAUAUUAGCAGAUUUUUUACUUUCUUUACAGGCUUAUUGUCUACAAUUUAUGUUUGGUUGAAGAAAGUCCUUUUUCAUUUUUAUAAAUGAUUUGUAAGCAAAAACUUUUAUUCUUUUCUUCCAAAUAAAGCUUCUGGCAUAUAUCAUUUCCAUCUGUUCUAUAACAUAAACGUUGGAAGUUACUUGAGCUGUUCCUUACUCAGAAAUUUGGUACAUUAAUUGCAGUUAAAUAUUUCUUAUUUUAUGAUGAAAAGUUCUCUUCCUGAGCUGCUUAAUAAGUGAGAUAACAUCCUUUAGUCAUUUAAUAAAUGAAAUUUAAGAACAUACUUUCCAGGUAUGUUACUUAUAAAACUACAGAAUGAUUAUAACAUAGCCCUUAUUGUUUAGGAGCUGAAAAGUUUUUGCUUGGAAAAACAAUUAGGGAGAAAUUCCACAGGAAGGGAUGAAAGUUUGUUACCCUGUACGCUUUGAAGUGACAUUUAAAGGUUGAAUAAAAGUUUACCUAGCCAGGAAGAAACAUCGUUAUUUUUGUGAAAUAUAAUUUAUGCUAGCAUUAGAACUUGCAUAGUUUCUAGAAAGAAGAGGCAAAGAAUGAAUUUUUCUUUAACUUGGUAGUUAAUUAUACCACACCCACAGGAGCAGAGGUAAUACUGUACUAUAGUUUGGUCAGAGAAGAACUCCCUCAAAUAUUGUAAGGGACUUACAAGAAAUUAGAUAUUGUUCAUUUAUUGGUGCUGGUUACAUAAUUUAUAGAAGUCUGUGUCAUUGUGCUGUUGCUGAGCUUGAUGUGAGCAAGACCAGAAGUCAGCUCUUGAGGUCAGGGAGAACCCACAAGAACAGACUAGAAGCACAUCAGUCACUAGAAUUCUGUAUGCAUCUCUGCCCACUCUGAGCAGCUUUGCUGAUGUGAGGGAGUCUGCAAAACAGCUUUGGCUUGCUAGACGAACAGGAACCUGGUUUAGAAUUUGGAAAAGCUAAAUGAAGAUUGUGUGUUUCCUAAAGGAAGUGUGGACACAGCUGCCCUCUACCUACCAGGUGAGCCAAGGCCCCUGUGUGUGUGUGUGCCCACUGAGCAUGAUGUGUGCCCACUGAGCUUUGUGUGUACCUUUCCAGGGCUUUUGAUAGUUACAUAGACAGCUCUGUUAACCCUAUCAAAGACUUCUAAUGCUCCUUCACAAAUCCAAUCACACUUCUCUUUAAAUGCACCCUUUGUUCUGAUUUGCCAUACUUUUGCCUGUUCUUAAAAUUCUUGAAGCUGUGAUUAAACAAGUAAGAUUUUAUCUGAACUUUUUCUCUUAGCACAGUGUUUUUGGAGUUGAUCUUUAUUGCCUUGAUUAGAAGUGUUCUGGUUUUUUAAUGGAUGGAAUAUGAGAACAACAUCUUUGCUAUUGGACUGACUUCCAUUUACUGAACAAAAGCAUGCACUCAGUCUGCAUUUGUAAGGCUUGAGGCCAUUGUAUUAUCCAUUUUUAGGAGUUGCCUCUUCUGAGAUGCCUUUUUAACACUACUUCACUUUGGAGCAUGGGGUCUUCAUUCCAACAAGACUCAAAGCCUAAAUUCUCAGUUGGCUUAAGUUUUAUGUAAUCAGGGGCUGGGGAUGUAGCUCAGCAGCGCAGUGCCUGCCUGGCAAGCGCAAGGCCCUGAGGUUGGUUCCUGGUACCAAAAAAUAAAAUAGUAAAAAAAAAGAAAAAAGCAGUUUUAUGUAAUCCAUAAGCAGAGUCUUUUAGCAGAGCUGUUUUGCAUCUCUGCUUCCAAAUUCCCCAGAUUUUUGCUAAGCGUUCUGUCAUUAACAAGUACUAAUGUUUUAAAAUAUUCUAGCGACUCUUAGAGCUAUAUAAAUAUUGUUAGCAUGAAGUGUGUCUUCCAAGAUACCAUAAACAGUGAUUUUAGUAAACAUUUUGCUAUGGAAUCAUAAAGGUUUUUGGAUUUAUCAAGUUCACCAGAGAAACUAUGUAUCAGUAUUGGGGGAGGGUAUAUGAUUCAUGUUUUAUGAAUUGGCUUAGGCAGUUUUGGAGGCACAGUCCAAAAUUUGUAGGGUGAGCCAGCAGACUAGAGGUCUAGGGAAGAGCCCUUGUUGCAGGUCAGGUGGGAAGGCCAUGUGCUGGAGAAUUCCACUUCCAGUGGUAUUUUGUUGUAUUCAGUCUUAUCUGAUUAGAGGACGCCUACCCAUUGUGAAAUACAAUCUGUUUCAUCUGGUCUGUUAAUGCAAAUGUUAAUCUCAUCCCAAAAUAUCCUCACAGAUACACUCCGAAUAAUAUAUGACCACAUAUCUGGGCUCCAUUGUUGAACAUAAAAUUAAGCUAUUGAUAGUAUUUUCGGCACAGAAGGGAACCAUCUGAUGGAAUUUUUGGCGUGGCUAAAAACAUAAGAAAUAGGAAAUAAAAGUGGCCUUUAUUUUAAGAAUGUGGGGAGAGACCUCAUGACCUCCGGGAUCUGGCAUUCUCUCCGCUAGACUCGUGGUGUGGGGCAUACAUGUAGCUUAGGGUUGAGGUGGUGCCUAAGGAGCAUUAGUGAUGCACAGGUAGCCCAUUGGUAUUUAUUUCCCAUCACAGGUAAAUUGCCUAGGGGCGGGAAAAGUGACCUCAAGAUAGAGCCCCUUGGUUCUGCCUUCCAGCUUCCCAUGGGCUACUGUGUCCCAACUGGGGCAAGAUCCUUUCAGCUAUUACACUGGCUUUCUAACCGUUAGUGUUUGAGAUCUUGCACCUUAUUACCUGCCAGCUAAGCCAGGUCUACAUUAUAGAUACUGUUUAAACAACUCCACAUGUGGUACCAGUAUUAGUGAUUUUACUUCUAAUACAACAACAACAACAACAAAGGAGGCUCAAAAUAAUAGUGACUUGAUAAAGUGUAACUCUGCUUCCCAGGGUUGCCCUGGCAGUCAGAAGAUUGUGGAACUUUAUAAUCAUCAGAGUCACAGUCCACACAGGGUUUAAUCCACAUUGCAGCUAGUAGGAAGGAAUAAAAAAGUAUAUCUUGUGAGACUUCCACUUAUAUCUCAUGGGUCAGCUAAAUCAUAUGCCUGUCUUCAUUGAAGGCAGUUUAGGAAAUUGGCCUUAGCAUGCCCAAUUAAAAAUUCCAUUACUACAGGAAGAAAAACAGAUGCUGAAGACUAGAAAUAUCUGCUACAUGUUGUAAUAAACAACAAAAAAAAAUCCAUUAGUGAGAGAAUCAGUUGAAAUAUAAGUAGUAGAUGACAAAGAUCUUACCUAAGUGAAUAAGACAGAAAUACAGACAUGGUUAGAUAUGAAAGAUGUUGUCAAUGGAUAAUUAAUAGAAUUUGCUGAUUGGGUGGGCCUGGAGUUGGAAGGUGGUCAAGACCAGUUUGUUAAGAGCAGAAGCUGUGAAACCACAUUGCUUAGAUUUGAAUCCUGGUUUGAUAUAGUUAUUAUGAAGAUAAUAUAAUGAUAUAGUUAUUAUGAAGAGGUAUCAUUACUUCAGAUUAUUUGGAAUUUUAGUGAAGGACUACUCCUCCGUGACCCUAUACAAGUUACUUUCUUUUCUUAGUUUUCUUUUCUGCAAAGUAAGAAUAAUGACUUAUGUCUCAAAACUAACUGAACAAUGGUAUGAAGUGCAUAUGUAGCAUACCUGACUUUGGGCAAAAAGGUAAACAAAUGAUAAAGUUGUAGGUAGAACUAAUAUGUGAAGAGAGAGGAAGAAAAAAUACUUACAUAAGAAGGCUAAACGUAGAUGAAGAAGAAAGAGCAUUUUCCAGAAGACAAAGUAGGAUAACCAUUCAAGAACUUUGUGAAAGGCUGAAUCAAAUAGUAUGGUAAGAUGAAGACCAGUAGUAUGUGUGCACUGGAUUAUAAUGUACACUGGAUAUGUACAUAUUUUUUCAUAAGCUUCUGAGGAAAAUGAAUAUUUUAUCUACCUUUUAUAAUUAAAAAUGGUUGAAUUACCAAUUAUUUGGGCUAAUGAUAUAGUUAUUAUGAAGAGGUAUCAUUACUUCAGAUUAUUUGGAAUUUUAGUAAAGGAAUACUUUUGAGUUUCUAACUGCUGGUUCUAAUUUGUUAAUAUUCUUCAAAACUGCCAUUUAAAUGUCAGUAGAGGCACACAUUUCUCAGCAUAAGGCAUUUGUUUUCAUUCACUUUAUUAUUAAAUGCUGUGCAGCAGCACAGUAUAGGUGGGGGUUUCAUACUAUAUAAAAGAACUGUUAAUUCUCAGGUUUUUUUGUUAAGAAUACUUAAAGGUACAUAAUUAUUUUUUACCUUCAUUGACUAUUUGGAGCAAUUGGAGUGAGAAAAUGUGUACACUGGCAUCCUAUGUCUUCCUGCUCGAGAUGCCAUACUUAUUUUAGCAGCUGUAGUGCUUGCUACAGGGUAAAUAGCAGUGUUAAGGUUGUACUCCUUCUGGCAUGAGAUUGGAUGGUAGUCUUUGUGCUGCAUUAAUUAACCAUAUAACUUCAGACAAGUAGAGUUUGUGAUGCUUGACUUGAUAAAUCAGGACGGGCUGUUUACCUUGUACACUCACCUCAUAAGGUUUUAUUGAGACUGUGUGUGGAGUGUUCUUUAAGCACCAAAUAAAAAUAAGGUGUCUUUGUUAAUUAGGCUGAUCACAUGUCCUUUGCUCAGUUAACAUAGGAAUCGGCAUUGUUUGAUUCGUGAGCCAAAUCUCCAUUCCCAUUUAUUCAGCAACAUUCUACUCUAAGCAGCAAGAAUUUCCUUAUGGAAUAAUAUAGUGCCUGUCCAUUACAUUCCCCUCUCCUGAAGUGCGGCUUUUCACUUUGGUUGUAAAUUUAGUUUACUGGUUAUACCUUGUGAAGUAACAUGCAGGUAGCCUUAUAAUGUAGUCCCAUAGAGGGUUUCUAAAAUAGUAAUUCUAUAUUAAAUUUUAUAUUAAAUUGUAUAAAAUAGUAAUUGAAUAUUAAAUGAUUUAAAUAAGCUAAUUACAGCAUUGAGCUCCUAUUGUUCUUUCAAAUAUUUAACAUUAUUACGCUUGGUUGGUUUUUAAAAAAUGUACAUUGCCAGAGUUUCCAAGAUGAGGAGGGAAUCUUACUCAUCUUGUGGCAUUCAAGGAGUCAAGUCUGUUUCCACUUGAUUGCUUCCUUCUGCCCAUAUUUGACUCCAAGUAUACCUUACUCUUCCCUUGAUACAAGAACAUUAAUAAAGAUGAAGAAAAAAUAUAUUUGUCAUAAUAUUGUUUAGCUAUAAUUUUAAUUUUUCAAGAGUACAGACAUACCUGAUUCCUUUACUUUAGCACCAGAAAUCAUAGUUGAGACAAGGGCUGUAACUCCAAACAUUGUUACAAGGAUGACAUAAAUGAAGUUUAUCUCCAUGAGGAAUUAAUGAAAGGGGAAAAAGUCAUUUCCUGCUUUGAUCAAAAGAUGGCACUGUUGCUGUGCCGACUGCUUUUUCUUAUAUUUUGGCCUCAGGCCUUUUUUUAAAUACAGAAAACAGUUAAAUUUAGUGAUCUAAUUAACACUGACCCUCCUAAACAGAAUGCCAAAUAUUCUAAUCAAGCACCAAAAGAAUAGAAUGAAAAUGGGGAAUUUAUAAUUUUUAAAAUGUGUAAGGGAUCUUAAUGGCUAUUUAUAAUAAAAUUCUGUGAAAUUCAGAGAUUUGUCGUGAGAAAAAUAGGACAUUCUGUAUCACAUUUUAAAUUUUAGUUAAGUUUUGAGUUGCCUUCUUUUUGAAACUUUGUACUUACUCAAAGACAUUUUUUAACUGUUAUAUUUUGUUUUAGCUUGUCAAGGUUACUGAAUUUGAACUGUCAUAAAAAUAAUACUUUUACCUUGGAAGUACUAAAUUCAGAUGAUCAUUUUUAUUUUCUUUGUACACUGUAGUUCACUUGUUAAUAGUUGAAAGCCUGUGUGGACUAGUGUGGAAGUGUCAAAGUAGCCUCUCUUUUGUGCCCAGAAAGCAACACCUUAUUUCUGAGCUAUUUCUUAAAUAGCUCUUGAAGGUUGGUUCUCUACUUUCCUUUAAGCAGAUCUUUCAAGGAUAGGAAACCACAUUUGGGAGAAGAUAAAAUGAAUGCCUUGAAAAUAGACUUUAUUAUUGAUGCAUGAAGUGUUUUUUAAAAAUGCAAACACAAUUCAAAACACUAUUUGAGAUCAAGGGGAAAGGAGCUCUUGGUUUACUGAGAGAGGACAAAAUGAUUCAGUCUGUCUUCUUACCUUAUAUCAGAAUGAGAAAACACUAGUUAACUAUGGCACGUAGACUGCUUAUUAGUGGAUGUAGCUGUCUGAUGGUGUGUGUGUGUGUGUGUGUGUUGACUAUCCAACCAAGAGUCUCUUGCACAUACUAGGUAGGUACACUACAGCCAUAUCCCUUCAGAUCCUCUGUUGCUUCUUGAAGUUGAGAUAUUCUGUACAAAUUUGCAAAGAAAUAACUUGAAUCUAAAAGCCCAGCAUCUUAGUCAAAGCCUUUGAGGCCAGAUGUAUUUUAGAAUUCAGAUUUUGGGGGAGAACAUAAAAAUAAUACAGUGUAUAUCAUAUUCAGUAUAUGAAAUAACCCUUUUCCUCCGGUGGGGUCUAGAGGAAGACAGUAACCCAGUGUAUCAAUACUUUCUUAGCAAAAUAUAAAUAGCAUACCAUAUAGGGCAUAGCAUACCAUAUUAGUGAGCCAUUUGUUGCUAGGACCAAACACUUGAUACACCCUGCUUAAAGAAGAAAGUGAUAUAUUUGGCUCACAGUUUCAGAGCUUAAGAUUAAUGGUAGGCAGGCUGUAGCUCAGAAACAUAAUGGCGGAAUGAUCUGAUAAAAGAAACCUACUUAGUUAAUUGUGGCCUGGAGGUAGAGCAAGGGAAUAGUGCCAGAGAGGAAGAAGCCAGGGAUAUAUAGGGGUCCCAGGGUCACACCUCUGAAACCGACCAAGAAAUGUGCUUUACUUAUCUCCCAAGCUAACUGAGUUGCAAUCCAGUUUAACGGUUACUGAUGGUAAAUUGACCAUAAAUAACUUGUCAGUUUAGGUUAGAUUUUGAGGCUACAUGAACCUGCCAGAAACUUCAAACAAAAACUGUAGAUUUCAGUGUUUUUUUGAUAUCACAAUGAAGUAUAAGAAAUAGGAGAUCUGAAGUAUCUUUGAAGUAUACUCAGAAUGGCUAAAAAGCUACUGAGCAUUUUUGUGUUUCUAAAUUUGGAAAAUUUAAAUUUAUUUUAUGUUUUUCUUGUAAGAAUGUGUUUUGUUUCAUUUUGCUUUUAGCAGCUUUAUCAGUUAGAUGAUUCAAGUACAAAAUUCAUCAUAGUCUAUUCCAUAAUGCUUGAAAUCAGCCAAAGAUUUGGGAAAUGUUUUAAUUGCUCAUAUCUGCCACAAAGCAACAGGGUAGCUAGGUGUAGCUAAAAUAGUCGGUAGUACUUAGGAUAAAAGCAUUUCCCACUAUAUUUUAAUCAAGAUCAGUUUUGCUUACCACAUCAGUGUUAUAAGCUAGAAUGUUACCCCAUAUUUCAACACUUAUGUGGGAGGCUUCUGAGGAGAAUAUGUAUGUUUCAGGGAAAUGGUGGAGGGUUUAUAUGACAUAGCAGUCCUGCUUCCUUUCAAAACACUUCUCCAAGGUUUGUAUGAUAGUUGGAAAUUAUGUAUUAAAUAAAAUAUACAACCCAAAUUAUUUUCAUUAGUUCUCAUGUGGAUUUUAGAAACGUACACAGAUGAUAAAGGUUUCAAGUGUUAGGCUAGAAAUCUACCUAAUCUGAUCAUGGACUGUCAUAUCUUAGUGCUAGACUGCUGUGAAAUUCAUUGAAUUUCUUACUUCAUAUGUUUUUGUUACAUCAGUACUGGUUGCUUGCUUGUUACUUUUAUAUGGAAGCCAUAACUUACUGAUGUCAGUUGUCUCCAGCCACAACAAUUUGUUUGAUACUCAUAGUUUUUGUUACUCAUUAUGCCUUCCAGAACCAAUUAAUGAAUACUGAGGUACCACUGUAGUACUUUUGCCUCUGCUACAGUUAGUCAUAAUGUUUUUAAAAGUCUGCUUAGAAGCUUACAUUGCUACUAUUCAAAAUGAAUAUCACCAGUCUUAAUGCAACUUGGUUUGUAGUAAUUCACACAAUGUGGUUAUAGUACCGAUGACUAAUAUUAAAUUUCUCAGGAUCUUGUUUGACCAUGAAACUUAAGAGACAUUAAAAAGACAAGGAGGGAAAACCCACUCAAGGACCCCUUCUGUCUCUCAGAAGCUUUCUUUCUCAGUAAAUACAUUCUGCUCUUAAUGUUCGUUGUAACUAAAAUUCAUUCUUCGAUUUUAGAGAAUACAAACUUACACUGGAUAUGUAGUAGGUUGGGAAUUUUGUUCUCUUAUACCAUUUGCAGUUUGAGAUCAUUGGAUAGAGCUAAGAAUUUGCUUUUAUUUCAUAGACUCUGCUCUGAGACUGGUUUAGAUAACAAAUUUUUAUGCUUCAAAUUUUGCUUUUUCUUUGCCCAUUGCUUAUAAUUGCUUGUGAUUUGUCUUUGCCUACUGUUUAUAAUUGCUUUGUCUCUUAUGUAGUUUUGUUAAAAUGGUGACAUAUCUGAGUUAAAAUAUGGGACAUUUAUAAAAUUUUGUUCUUGUGUAUGUUACAUUUAAACUAGUUGCUUGACUUUUUUGCAUUUUUUAACAAUUUUAUUUAAAGAAAGACAAAACAAAACAGAAAAUGGGUAGAAACAAUACAUAUGUUCAAAGAAAAAUAAACACUAAGAAAUCACUAAUUAAUGUUUACAUACUGUCCUUUUACAAAUAGUUGUUCAAGAUACAAAAGUGGAACAUAUAAAGUGGGAAUUCCAACAGCGAGACUGCAAACAGUUCUGUUCAAUUAUCCAACAAAAAGUUAGUAAUAUGGUUGUCAGUCCUAUACAUUUAAACAUACAUGCAGUAAGGGGCUGGGGAUUUAGCUCAGCGGCAUAAGCACCUGCUUUGCAAGCAGGCGGUCAUGAGUUCAAUCCCUGGUACCGGUAAAAACAAACAAACAAAAACCCAAUAUCUGUAGUUAUCCAUAUCUUCAUUUAUGUUGGGAUUAAACAACUAAAUCAGGCUAAAGUCAUUCUGAACAAAGAAUAAUACUAUUGCUGGAUUUCACAUCAUGACACUCUGGGAUCAGCACUGGGUACUGUAGUGUCUUUUUAAAAAUUUUUAUUUAAAGAAAGACUAAACAAAACAGAAAACAGGUAGAACUAAUACAUUCUUUGAAAGAAAAAAAUAAACAGUAAGAAAUCACUAGUUGAUGAUUACAGAUUGUCCUCUUACAAAUAGUUAUUCAAGAUACUAAAGUGGAGCAUAUAAAGUGUGGAUUCAUGCACUGACACUGCAACCAGUUCUGUUCAACUAUCUAUCAAAAACUUAGAAAUAUGGUUAUCAAUCCUGUAUACUUAAACAUAUGUGCAGUUAUCCGUAUCUUCAAUUAUGUUGAGAUUGAACAAAUCCAAGCAGUCUAAUAACACUCUGAACAAAGAAUAGUACUAUUGCUGGGUUUCACAUUUUGACCCUCAGGAUCAGCACUGGGUCUCUUUUUCUUCAAAGUAUCUGUUCGUUUCAUCAUAUGUCGUAAGAUCAGUUCUCAUAAACUGUUUAUAGAUUCUACACAUGCAUGAGCCUUAACAUGUAUUUCUAUCCUUUCUAUGUUAGAGGGAGAAGCAAAACAAAGUAAGACAAAAUAAAACAUUCCUAUAAACAUAUGGAAUGAAAAAGACAUAUAAGACCAUUGUACAAGGAGUUCUACCAUAUUUCCUGUGUUGUCUCUUGUUCAAUAGAAUUGGCUAUAUCAUCAGGUAUAGUAUAAUAGAACAUAGCAGUCCAUAACAGUAUUAAUAAAAAUAGAACUUUGUAUAUAGUUUAAAACUUCAAAAGCAGGCAGUUAUCAAACCAGAAUGUGUAUUAUAGAGUCUUGUCAUCUUGUUGCUUAUACUCUCAGAAUUGAUACUAUCAUUUCAGUUUUGAAUAAAAUCUGUCGAUACCAAACAGCAAUCAAACAAACCAGAUUUAACUAAGAUCAGUCAUGAUAAAACAGUAUAAGUCAUACAGGGCUCCAGAAUAAGAUAAUAGGAAAUUAAAGAUGAUUACUAUGCUAUAUCCUGAUGUUUUUGGGAUAGCUGUGUAUGCCCUCAAAUCUAAUGCAAGUAGACAAACUGGGACAGAAUAAAAUCUAUCACAAAAGAGAAUAAAAUCUGUCUAAGCACAGUGGUGUAAGUAAUGUGGGUUUUAAAUCCUGAUACACUAUUAACAAUAUCUUCUGCCAUCUUUUUUAGGACUUUCCCUCCCCUUUCACUUCCUCCGGGGUACACUGUGCAUUUUUGGGUCUGACCAAGACCCUUGGUUUUAAAUGGGGGGGGGGCACACCUGCUAUUCACCUAAAUGGUUCCAAACCUUCUCUCUCCUGGACUUGAUCUCUAAUUGUAUUCCUUUACCUAUUAAAGCCUGUCUUUCCAACCUAUCCACAAAUACUGGUCUAGUUGUCCACAUUACUCUCUGGUUCUCUGUCACAUAGAGCAUUGUUUUCUUAUAGUUGAUUUUCAGUCCAUGUACUCUUUUUUCAUGUUAAUUAUGUUUCCUAUAAAUAGCAUCUCAGUGGACCCUACUUUCUGAUCUACUCUCCCUGUGUUUCUUUUGUGUGUGUGUGUGUGUGUGUGUGUGUGUGUGUGUGUGUGUUUCAAGGCCAUCUAUGUUAGAGAUUAUAGCCAACCUUCUCUGCCUCAUUUCUCCUAUGCCAUUUUUCUGCCAUUGGUUGUCUACUGUUUUCCUUCACUCCACUGUCUACCCCUUUCAUUGAGUUCUCUCUGCCACUAUUCUUGGAACCCUGCAAUCUCUCUCUAGAAUGUCCUUCAGUGUUCUCUGUAGAGUUGGAUUGGUGGUUGUGAAAUCCCCCAGUUCCUCUUUGUCUUGGAAGCAUCUUGUUUCUCCUCUAAUUUCUAGAGACUGUUUAUCAGGAUAUAUCAAUCUGGGUUGGAGGUUAUUUUCUUUCAGGGCUUGGAAUAUUUCACCCCAGGCUCUUCUUGACUUGAUGGUUUGUGUUGAGAAGUCUGCUGUGAUGCUGAUGGGCCUUCCUUUAUAGGUUAUCUGUUUCUUGUCUCUAACAGCUUUUAAUAUUCUGCUCUUAUAUGGAAUUUCUGGGAUCUUGAUUAUUAUAUGCCUGGGUGUAGCUCUGUUUUGGUUAUAGGUGGCUGGAGUUCUGUAUGCCUCAUACAUCAGAAUAUCAUUUCUUUUUCCUAUGUUUAGGAAGUUUUCCUUAAUUAUUUCUGUGAAUAGCCUUUGUAGUUCCUUUGUUUGUACCCCUGCUUUUUCUUUUUUUUUUUUUUUUUUUUUUUUUUUUUUUUGUCUUUUUCGUUUUUAUCGGUACCAGGGAUCGAACUCACGACUGCCUGCUUGCAAGGCAGGUGCUUAUGCCGCUGAGCUAAAUCCCCAGCCCCACCCCUGCUUUUUCAUUCAUGUUCUUUAUUCUCAAGUUGUAGAUCUUCUUGUCAUCUUCUAGCCUUUGUAUUGUUACUGCUUGUUUCCUUGUUAUUUUUAAAAAAUUUUUCCUUUCAUAAUCCCACAUUGCAAAACUGUCCUCCAGUUUGGAUAAUCUAUCGUUAGUUUCUUUCAAGCAGAUUUGCCAUCUUUCCAUAGAGUUUUAAAUUUCCUGGUAAUCUCUUUGAAUGUGCUUCAUGUACUCUAUAUUUUGUGUAUAUACUUCAUCAAAUGGUUCUCUCCUUUGUUUGAGUUCCUCCCUUCUUCGGUCUGUGUCUGCCCUAGGGGUUCUUAACAUCUCUUUUAUUAAUCUUCUUAUAUCUUUCUUUACUUGGCUAAAUAUUUCACUUUUGAACUCAUCUAUGAGGUCCUGAAGAUACCUCUUUGUGUCCACUGGUGCUGUCUGAUAUUGCAUGUUUGCUGUUCUCAUUUUCCUUUGAAUUUACCUGUCCUGGGUCAGUGUUCUCAGGGUUGGGACCUGGGGACUUUUUGUUGUUGCUUCCUCUUUCCAUCUUUUUUGUUUCCUCCAUGAGGCCCCAGUUUCUUUCUUUGUUGGUUACAGUUCUUUUGAAGCACCACUGCAGUGUGCUAGUGAGUUGCAGGCAGGGGCAGCAUAUGCUGGCCCCUCCCCUUCAGAAUAGUCAAGCUACUGAAGCCUGCACUGUAUUACUAUGUGCUGUUUCCCCUCUGGAUCAGUCAGACUUCUGAGCCUUCACUCCAUUAGUGUGGUUAGUGUGCGCCAGGUCGCAUGACCCAGGCAUAGCUCACUCCACCAAACCUGUUUGGGAAGGGAACAGCUGACUGAAGUCGCUGCUGCCCCUUUUACUUGCCAGUCCUGCCCAGUCCCAGAAUGUCAUCCACUGAAGUUCCCCUUUCUGUGAAAUGGCUCCACUCCCAUCACUCACCACAGGUCGGUGUAGGCUUCCCAUCAUCUUAGCUGUGGUUUAGGCUGGCCGAUGACUCCUGACCUUAGUGUGACUGCAUCUCUAGUGAGUCUAAGCAGCGGGACCUCAGAUGGCUUGGCAAGUCGCUUGCUGUGGUGGGUGCAGUAAACCCUUAGCUGUUCCAUUAAUAGCACCAGGACUGUAUAUUUGAUUGGGUCUUCUCACCUGAGUUUCUUCUUGGGACGAGAGAAUUCAUCUACCUCUGUUCGGGCUCCCCACACUGUAUUAUGUUGAUUUCUAAGUUGACUAUCUCAGGGAGCCUCUGUAGCCAGCUGUUAUCUAUCCACCAUCUUUCCUCCACCCCUAGUUGCUUGACUUUUUUAAACAGUAUUACUGGAGAGAGUAAUGUUACCUUGUGGUUUUGUUCUAUAAAAGUCCCUAGAAAAGAAGACUUGGCAGCCCACUUCGGACCCCUUCAGUCUCUCAGGAACCCCAUUGUUUCAAUAAAUAUAUUCUGCUUUUCAAAAAAAAAAAAAAAAAAAGAUAA